GCGUGGGUGAUGAAGGCCUUCGGGUUGUAAAGCCCUUUCGGCGGGGACGAUGAUGACGGUACCCGCAGAAGAAGCCCCGGCUAACUUCGUGCCAGCAGCCGCGGUAAUACGAAGGGGGCUAGCGUUGUUCGGAAUGACUGGGCGUAAAGGGCGCGUAGGCGGCGAUUUUAGUCAGGCGUGAAAGCCCUGGGCUCAACCUAGGAACUGCGUUUGAUACUGGAUCGCUUGAGUGUGGGAGAGGAUGGUGGAAUUCCCAGUGUAGAGGUGAAAUUCGU
This 275-nucleotide ribosomal RNA is filed under the name uncultured bacterium. RNAcentral's name for it is "partial 16S ribosomal RNA". It matches the Rfam family "Bacterial small subunit ribosomal RNA", at positions 399 to 691 of the family's 1533-position model. The record is from RNAcentral.